AACGAACGCUGGCGGCAGGCUUAACACAUGCAAGUCGAGCGCCCCGCAAGGGGAGCGGCAGACGGGUGAGUAACGCGUGGGAAUCUACCCUGAUCUGCGGAAUAGCUCCGGGAAACUGGAAUUAAUACCGCAUGUGCCCUGAGGGGCAAAGAUUUAUCGGUUCAGGAUGAGCCCGCGUCCGAUUAGCUAGUUGGUGGGGUAAUGGCCUACCAAGGCGACGAUCGGUAGCUGGUCUAAGAGGAUGAUCAGCCACAUUGGGACUGAGACACGGCCCAAAGUCCUACGGGAGGCAGCAGUGAGGAAUAUUGGACAAAGGGCGCAAGCCUGAGCCAGCCGUGCGGCGUGAGUGAUGAAGGCCCUAGGGUUGUAAAGCUCUUUCAGUGGGGACGAUAAUGACGGUACCCACAGAAGAAGCCCCGGCUAACUUCGUGCCAGCAGCCGCCGCUG
RNAcentral lists this ribosomal RNA (447 nucleotides) under uncultured bacterium. RNAcentral describes it as "partial 16S ribosomal RNA". It matches the Rfam family "Bacterial small subunit ribosomal RNA", at positions 29 to 523 of the family's 1533-position model. The record is from RNAcentral.